Molecule: ribosomal RNA, 469 nt
Filed under: uncultured bacterium
Lineage: Bacteria
Description: partial 16S ribosomal RNA
Rfam family: Bacterial small subunit ribosomal RNA
Source: RNAcentral
GACGAACGCUGGCGGCGUGCUUAACACAUGCAAGUCGAACGGAAAGGCCCUGCUUGCAGGGUGCUCGAGUGGCGAACGGGUGAGUAACACGUGGGUGAUCUGCCCCUUACUUUGGGAUAAGCCUGGGAAACUGGGUCUAAUACUGGAUAGGACCAUGCUGUAGGUGGUGUGGUGGAAAGAUUAGUUUCGGUAAGGGAUGAGCUCGCGGCCUAUCAGCUUGUUGGUGGGGUAAUGGCCUACCAAGGCGUCGACGGGUAGCCGGCCUGAGAGGGUGGACGGGCACAUUGGGACUGAGAUACGGCCCAGACUCCUACGGGAGGCAGCAGUGGGGAAUAUUGCACAAUGGGCGCAAGCCUGAUGCAGCGACGCCGCGUGGGGGAUGACGGCCUUCGGGUUGUAAACUCCUUUCAGCCAUGACGAAGCCCUUGUGGUGACGGUAGUGGUAGAAGAAGCACCGGCUAACUACGUG